UGUGCAGGAGCCCAAGGAAGCCAGA
Molecule: non-coding RNA, 25 nt
Filed under: Cricetulus griseus (Chinese hamster)
Lineage: Eukaryota; Metazoa; Chordata; Mammalia; Rodentia; Cricetidae
Source: RNAcentral